UACAGAGGUCUCAACCGUUGUUCGGAUUCAUUGGGCGUAAAGGGUGCGUAGGCGGUCGUGCAAGUCGGAUGUGAAAUCUCAGGGCUCAACCCUGAAACUGCAUUCGAUACUGCGUGGCUAGAGUGCUGGAGAGGAGACUGGAAUUUACGGUGUAGCAGUGAAAUGCGUAGAUAUCGGGAGGAACACCUGUGGCGAAGGCGGCCCCCUGGGCCGGCCCUGACACUGAGACGCGAAGGCGUGGGGAGCGAACGGG
Molecule: ribosomal RNA, 253 nt
Filed under: uncultured bacterium
Lineage: Bacteria
Description: partial 16S ribosomal RNA
Rfam family: Bacterial small subunit ribosomal RNA
Source: RNAcentral